UGCAACUGUCACUAUCUACACGCUUGCAAAAUGUUAGUUACCAACAAUAGAUUACAGGAAAGUUGUGUUUCAGAAACGACCGCAUAUGAUGUAGGAUUACGUUGAGGGAGUGGCUAUGUCGAUUGAAUCCAUCAGCAGUAAGCAAUAAACGCACAAAAUUAUUAGGGAGUGGCUAUGAUCGAUUGAAUCCAUCAGCAAAUGUUCCCGAAAGACGUAAUUCUACGUCAACAAUUUUUGAAUUAAAAACAAAAUACAAAAAAAAAAUAAUUAUGAUUCGUCGACAAAAUUGAAUUUCUUAUAAAAACCAGGACAAUUGCUAAAAUAUGGAAAAUAAAUUAGGACGUCCCAAAAGCAUCUCAAAAUCAGGACAUGUCCUGCUAAAUCGGGACAGACAGUAACUCUAAAAACGAUGCUAUCUGCCAUAAGUAAAAUUUCAAUAGGGCCGUGACUGUGAAAUAUUUAUAAUCAAUUUAAAGA
Toxorhynchites rutilus septentrionalis is the source of this 477-nucleotide long non-coding RNA. RefSeq lists it as uncharacterized. Lineage: Eukaryota; Metazoa; Arthropoda; Insecta; Diptera; Culicidae. The record is from RefSeq and is a predicted model, not a curated record. The transcript is spliced from 3 exons.